CUAACUAAUCCCCAUUAUUGAUUGGGUUGUCUUCUCUUCUUGUAUUUCACCCACUUCUUUUAGCUCAUCCUCUUUGGAGAGAGAAAAAAUGGAGAAAUACAAGGGUGCCCUAGUCCUUUUUAUGGUCGUAAUCUGGGUUUCUUCAUCCCAGAAUCCCCUGGUUUCAGCAGCUAGGCCGCUUUCAAUCUUGCCUCAUCAACAAAGAUACUCCAAGAUUUUAGCCACUCUUGGAGUCGUCUGCGAGUGUUGCGAUGGAAGUGGAGGUGAAUGCUCGUCUACAUGGACCGGAGCUUGCUCUAAGCUCAAGUGCCUGCCCUGGAAAUUACUUUAGGAUUUUUACUUUUCAUUUGCCUCUAUUCUGUGUGUAAUAUCAUAAGUAACUGAAACCAUGGUAUGGGGUCAUAUUUGCUUACUUGA
Hibiscus syriacus is the source of this 417-nucleotide long non-coding RNA. RefSeq lists it as uncharacterized. The transcript has 2 exons. Lineage: Eukaryota; Viridiplantae; Streptophyta; Magnoliopsida; Malvales; Malvaceae. The record is from RefSeq and is a predicted model, not a curated record.